AGCGAACGCUGGCGGCAGGCCUAACACAUGCAAGUCGAACGAACUCUUCGGAGUUAGUGGCGGACGGGUGAGUAACACGUGGGAACGUGCCUUUAGGUUCGGAAUAACUCAGGGAAACUUGUGCUAAUACCGAAUGUGCCCUUCGGGGGAAAGAUUUAUCGCCUUUAGAGCGGCCCGCGUCUGAUUAGCUAGUUGGUGAGGUAAAGGCUCACCAAGGCGACGAUCAGUAGCUGGUCUGAGAGGAUGAUCAGCCACAUUGGGACUGAGACACGGCCCAAACUCCUACGGGAAGCAGCAGUGGGGAAUCUUGCGCAAUGGGCGAAAGCCUGACGCAGCCAUGCCGCGUGAAUGGUGAAGGUCUUAGGAUUGUAAAAUUCUUUCACCGGGGACGAUAAUGACGGUACCCGGAGAAGAAGCCCCGGCUAACUUCGUG
RNAcentral lists this ribosomal RNA (433 nucleotides) under uncultured bacterium. Its description in RNAcentral is "partial 16S ribosomal RNA". It matches the Rfam family "Bacterial small subunit ribosomal RNA", at positions 29 to 507 of the family's 1533-position model. The record is from RNAcentral.